GAAUUUUGCCUUUAAAUUUGAUUCCUGGUCAAGAUGAACGCGGACGGCGUGCUUAACACAUGCAAGUCGAACGGGGGUCAUAUGACGGAAUUGUUCGGACGGAAAUGGUGUGACUCGAGUGGCGGACGGGUGAGUAACACGUGAGCAACCUUGCUUUUUGAUGGGGAAUAACUGUGGGAAACCAUGGUUAAUACCGCAUAUUGUACCGACUGGGCAUCCGGUUGGUAUGAAAGGAGAAAUCCGGCAGAAGAUGGGCUCGUGUCCGAUUAGGUAGUUGGUGGGGUAACGGCUCACCAAGCUUACGAUCGGUAGCUGGACUGAGAGGUCGAACGGCCACAUUGGGACUGAGAUACGGCCCAGACUCCUACGGGGGGCAGCAGUGGGGAAUAUUGGGCAAUGGGGGAAACCCUGACCCAGCGACGCCGCGUGAAGGACGAAGGCUUUCGGGUUGUAAACUUCUUUGGGGAGGGACGAAAUUGACGGUACCUCCAGAACAAGCCACGAUUAACUACGUGCCAGCAGCCGCGGUAAUACGUAGGUGGCAAGCGUUAUCCGGAUUUACUGGGUGUAAAGGGCGCGCAGGCGGUUCUGAAAGUCAGAUGUGAAAGAUCAAGGCUUAACUUUGACAGGUCAUCUGAAACUUUGGGACUUGAGUAUCAGAGGUGAAAGUGGAAUUCCUGGUGGAGCGGUAAAAUGCGCAGAGAUCAGGAGGAACACCGGUGGAGAAGGAGACUAUCUGGCUGACAACUGACGCUGAGGCGCGAAAGCGUGGGGAGCAAACAGGCUUAGAUACCUUGGUAGUCCACGCCGUAAACGAUGAUUACUGGGUGUAGGGGGUAUCGACUCCCUCGUGCCGAAGCAAACAGCGAUAAGUAUCCACCUGG
Molecule: ribosomal RNA, 884 nt
Filed under: uncultured bacterium
Lineage: Bacteria
Description: bacterial SSU rRNA
Rfam family: Bacterial small subunit ribosomal RNA
Source: RNAcentral